GGCUGGUUGGCGCAAUGGUAGCGCGUUCGCCUCCAGUUCGAUCCUCCUCAAAAGGGAUCGAGUAGGCGGCAGCGAAAGGCUGGGUGUUCGAAUCACUCACUGGUCA
Non-coding RNA from Peziza echinospora, 106 nucleotides. The record is from the annotation of a GenBank genome assembly. NCBI's taxonomy places the organism in Eukaryota, Fungi, Ascomycota, Pezizomycetes, Pezizales, Pezizaceae.